Molecule: ribosomal RNA, 253 nt
Filed under: uncultured Chaetoceros
Lineage: Eukaryota; Bacillariophyta; Thalassiosirophyceae; Chaetocerotales; Chaetocerotaceae
Description: partial Bacterial small subunit ribosomal RNA
Rfam family: Bacterial small subunit ribosomal RNA
Source: RNAcentral
GGAAUAUUGGACAAUGGGCGAAAGCCUGAUCCAGCCAUGCCGCGUGCAGGAUGAAGGCCUUCGGGUUGUAAACUGCUUUUGUACGGAACGAAAAGACUCUGGUUAAUACCUGGGGUCCAUGACGGUACCGUAAGAAUAAGCACCGGCUAACUACGUGCCAGCAGCCGCGGUAAUACGGAGGGUGCAAGCGUUAAUCGGAAUUACUGGGCGUAAAGCGUGCGCAGGCGGUUAUGUAAGACAGAUGUGAAAUCCC